GAAUUUAAUAUAUAUAUGUUUAAUAAAGUUUAUGAUGAAAUAGGUAAGAGUGUGUAUAUUUUGUUGGGAGGAUAGUUAAAUGUUAAUAACUUUAAUUAAAAUUUAAAUAUAAAUUAAUGAAUUUAAGAGUGGUUAAUUGAAUUAAUUAAGAAUUAAUUACCUUAGGGAUAACAGCGUAAUAUUUUUGGAGAGUUCAUAUUGAUAAAAAUGUUUGC
This 215-nucleotide ribosomal RNA is filed under the name Solenopsis sp. 01 GR-2021. RNAcentral describes it as "partial large subunit ribosomal RNA". Lineage: Eukaryota; Metazoa; Arthropoda; Insecta; Hymenoptera; Formicidae. The record is from RNAcentral.